GGGGAUAUAGCUCUGUGGGACAGUGCAUGCUCAGUAUGCACGAGGUCCUGGGUUCAAUCCCCACUACCUCCA
Molecule: transfer RNA, 72 nt
Filed under: Camelus bactrianus (Bactrian camel)
Lineage: Eukaryota; Metazoa; Chordata; Mammalia; Artiodactyla; Camelidae
Also listed under: 1 other name
Rfam family: tRNA
About the family: Transfer RNA (tRNA) molecules are approximately 80 nucleotides in length. Their secondary structure includes four short double-helical elements and three loops (D, anti-codon, and T loops). Further hydrogen bonds mediate the characteristic L-shaped molecular structure. tRNAs have two regions of fundamental functional importance: the anti-codon, which is responsible for specific mRNA codon recognition, and the 3' end, to which the tRNAs corresponding amino acid is attached (by aminoacyl-tRNA synthetases). tRNAs cope with the degeneracy of the genetic code in two manners: having more than one tRNA (with a specific anti-codon) for a particular amino acid; and 'wobble' base-pairing, i.e. permitting non-standard base-pairing at the 3rd anti-codon position.
Source: Rfam by way of RNAcentral